GGCGGAGUGCGGACGCACCGCUAGGCGGAGGAGGGAGGCGGCGGCGACGGAGGCUCCAGUGCUCGCCCGGAACCUUGUUGCCAGGGGUGACCGGGCGCUUUACGGCAGCGCGUUUGAACGGCGGCGGGGGAAAAAGUUGCGCCCGCAGCUCCAAUGGAGAGACAAACAGCUGGAGAGUGACGCUGUUCUUGCUGAACCUGCCGUUCUUGCGCUUUCCUGAGUCAUACUUCCCGCUUUCGCGAAGAGGAGAAGAGGUAUAAAAUUCUGUGCCUCUAAAAAAAAAUAAUAAAGGGAAAGAAGCAAAUUUUCACGAAUAAUUAAUGGAAGACCUCCUUUGGGCUUAAUAAACUUAUUAAAUGUGUUAAAAAUUAAAGCAUUACCACCAAACGCUUGUGCUAUUUAUUAACUCUUGCCUUUCGCUUCAGGCAAUAAAAUAAUUUAGUGAGUUUGUUUCUAGGCUUCCUUAUUUCUCUCUUUUUUUUUUCCCCUCCUUAUCCUAGGAUGAUUCUGUAGAAACUGAAAUUCUGUGCUUCUUGGGAAUUCUUUUAUCUAAACAGAUGAAAUUUCAGUGCAAGUGUUUCUGUUAAUGGGAUACUUUCAAUAAGAAAUUGAUACACUGCUGAACUUGAGGUCUUUAGCUAUACUACAUCAUUUCCACAUGCUGUAUGUUCACAUUCUGUAACCUAUCACCUCAUUUCAUGGAAGCGGCAUAGCGUGUCUCUAGAAAAGGAACUAUUGAACACUGCCAGUUUGUGGGCAUACCUUGCAUCCCCCUAAAAGCCAGUACAUUCAGAAGUGCUUAGAAAAGAAGUAUUGCUCUAAAAUGGAGGCAGAAUUAGGUAAAGAUCCAAAGGGAUAUUUUCCAAAUUAAUCGUACCAGCAAAAGUGUACAAGAGUACACAUGAGUGUACAAGUGUACAAGUUUUCACAUGAAAACAUUUUUGCAGGUAAAAAUCAUUUGUCUGGUAUCUCUAAAAAAAGUUGGUAAAUUUAGGUAUAUUGUUUUUACAUAUGUAUCUUUACUCAGUGUUGGUUGGCUGCUGACCUCAACAUUUUAAUAAGGAUCUACCUGAGAGUCAUUAAAAAAGGUUAACAAAUCAAACAAUACCACAUGUUUGAUGGACUAAUAGAAGUCAUUUAAAAGCUAUCCAAAUACAAGGAUAGCUAAGAACUGUGACAUGAAACCAACUGCAAGAUAAAAGUGAAACUUGUCAGCAAGAUUUUGAGUGAAUGGAUUGCAAGGUUUAGGGCAGAAUUUUGUUGGUACUUCAACCUCCUUGCUUGUCAAGUUUUUGUGCAGAAGAUACCUGUCACUGUGAAACUGUUUGCAAAUGAGGGCUUAAGGUGCUUUGGAAUUCUUGGAUGCUUUUUAUCAUUCAGUGGAUGAAUUUAAGCAAAAUAUCACGUACAGGUUUUCAUACUAAGUUUUUGGUUCCUUAAAAUUAGUCAUGGUUUUAGAAGGUACUUGCAAAUAAAAAAUAAUCUAAAAAUAUAUUUGUAGAUUUGUAAGAAUAUUCCCCUGCAUGCCCACACAAAAUUCCAGGCCCUCUUUAAGCAACUUUGAAGACCUUAUUUACUUUGAGUUUUGUCACUUUCCACUUCUGGAUAAGAAUUCUUGUGUCUUCAUUUUUGAGCAAUUUCCGAGCAGAAUGAGCAAAGAAACCGUCUCCUGAUGUUUGUUUUGCUCUUUUUCCAAUAGCCAUAGUGUCUGUUUGAGCACUAGUCUCCUGAGAUUUCCAAGCAGCUGGGAGAAACUGGUGACAACUCCUGCUGGCCAUUAGUUUCUGAAGAGCAGAACUGAAACUGGCAGGAGCCUUGGUAGCUCUACGCUGCUAUAGUUUUGAUAAAUGAGAAGAGAAAACCAAAGCAAUCUUUGUAUAUGUUAUCUUUCAUACCUAGGAGGUCUAGAAACCAAAAAAACAGAGGAUAGUGUUUUGCCUCAAGUUAUUGAUGACUCCAAUCACUAUUCACUGUGAAAGGUGUCUCAUUCACAACUUGUAAAUAGAUGAGUGGAUGGGUUGCUUUUUUGGUUUUUAAACUUUGAUAUGUUUAAUCCAAGCAACUGGGCGCUUCACAUCUUAGUAUACGAAGUUCUCAUUAUUUAAUGUGCUGAAUUAAGGAUGCAGCCACUGACAAACAAUUUUGACCUAAUACUUUCUUCUAAUCCUGGAUGCAAACACACUAGUUAAAAUUCUUGCUAUUUUUGUCAUGUUCUGCAGUGUUUGAACACAUUGUAUAUGUAGUUUAAACUGGUUUGUGCUGCAAGAAUGGAAAAUCCUAUUUUUCUUUAUGGUGCACAUGUUUCAAUCUGACUUUUCAGUCAAGGAUGCAGACAUUAAUUAAUGUAUUCUUUGGAAAAUCUUAGCAAAGCAGUAUGUUUCUUCAUCCUCCUAAAUCUGGUAAUCUUGAGAAGAUGUCUCUUUAAAAGAGGAGUUCUGAUACAGUGGUUAUCCAUGAUAAUUAGAUGUUUUCUAGUAAUUUGUAUGGGAAUUUAGGCAACCUAAAUAGCUAUAUUGUAGUUGAAACCUGAGAUUGCAUAGCUGCUGUACUUCACCCUUUUUGAAAUUUAUUUCCAUUGUCUGAAGAUAGGAAUUAAAAUACUUCCAUAGUCACACUGUUGUAAGGAUGUUCAAAAACUGACUAAUGACUCUUAUAGACAGCUUUUCCUGUUUUAAAAAUGCUCAUGUAUGUUGUGUUAUGAUUUAUGAUCUCUUAAGUAUGUAUCAUUAAAUAAAAGCAAUCAGUCCUCUGUUUGUAUGCCUACUCCUCAUUCAUGUUCAUGAAAUGCAGUUUCACAUCCUAUCUUGAGUAUUGUAGAUUUAAUGGUGUUC
Molecule: long non-coding RNA, 2831 nt
Organism: Lepidothrix coronata (blue-crowned manakin)
Lineage: Eukaryota; Metazoa; Chordata; Aves; Passeriformes; Pipridae
Exons: 3
Source: RefSeq, a predicted model, not a curated record